UACGUAGGGGGCGAGCGUUGUCCGAAGUUACUGGGCGUAAAGCGCGCGUAGGCGGCCCUUUAAGUCCGGCGUGAAAGGUUCAGGGCUCAACCCGAACAGUGCGCUGGAGACUGGAGAGCUUGAGGACGGGAGAGGGAAGCGGAAUUCCGGGUGUAGCGGUGAAAUGCGUAGAUAUCCGGAGGAACACCGAUGGCGAAGGCAGCUUCCUGGUCCGUAUCUGACGCUGAGGUGCGAAAGCGUGGGGAGCGAACGGG
Molecule: ribosomal RNA, 254 nt
Filed under: uncultured bacterium
Lineage: Bacteria
Description: partial 16S ribosomal RNA
Rfam family: Bacterial small subunit ribosomal RNA
Source: RNAcentral